RNAcentral lists this ribosomal RNA (498 nucleotides) under uncultured bacterium. RNAcentral's name for it is "partial 16S ribosomal RNA". It matches the Rfam family "Bacterial small subunit ribosomal RNA", at positions 30 to 523 of the family's 1533-position model. The record is from RNAcentral.
AUUGAACGCUGGCGGCAUGCCUUACACAUGCAAGUCGAACGGUAACAGGUCUUCGGAUGCUGACGAGUGGUGAACGGGUGAGUAAUACAUCGGAACGUGCCUAGUAGUGGGGGAUAACUACUCGAAAGAGUGGCUAAUACCGCAUGAGAUCUACGGAUGAAAGCAGGGGGUCGCAAGACCUUGUGCUACUAGAGCGGCCGAUGGCAGAUUAGGUAGUUGGUGGGAUAAAAGCUUACCAAGCCGACGAUCUGUAGCUGGUCUGAGAGGACGAUCAGCCACACUGGGCCUGAGACACGGCCCAGACUCCUACGGGAGGAAGCAGUGUGGAAUUUUGGACAAUGGGCGAAAGCCUGAUCCAGCAAUGCCGCGUGCAGGAUGAAGGCCUUCGGGUUGUAAACUGCUUUUGUACGGAACGAAAAGCCCCGGGUUAAUACCCUGGGGUCAUGACGGUACCGUAAGAAUAAGCACCGGCUAACUACGUGCCAGCAGCCGCCGUAA